ACGAACAUGGAAUUCUUUUUCCUUUGCCAAAACAGGGAUAGUAUGAAGGCACUUGCAGAACUGCAAAGUGCAAAACGCACACAAUAUGGCCUCAGUAGAAGUAGAAAUAUAUGCAUAACUAGGUUCAGAAUAAUACAAAAAGAAGACUUACAUUAAUUGGAUAUAUAAAUACACAAAAAAAAUCAAUGAAUUUAAAUAAUAAAGAAUACAAAAUGGGGCAAACUUAGAAGGAAAAUCGUAUUGGCCGAGAAGGAGGGGUUGGAGGGAGACUGGACUUGGUAUGACCUGGCUCCAAGAUGAACAAAAUUGUCAAGGGGUCUCAAAAUCCAGGAUUGAGCCUGUAACCCUUCAGAAAUUAGCUGCUAUCAAAUUCCAUUUUAUAGAUCAGAAAUUUAAGAUAAUUGUUUGCCAUGGAAGACUUGAACUCAUAUCAAUUCUGUACUGAGAUGCACUUAUGGUAUGAAGUUACUCUGGCUAUGCUCCCAACUCCUCCAGCUACUUUGAUUGUUAUCAAAAAAAUCUGCACUAUAGUUCUGACUACCAAAUGCCAACCUCUGAAACAUUCUAAUCUGAGCAGAAUGUUGUCUUGAGUCGAAGAUUUCACUUUGGCCAGGUUUCAUUCCAUUAGAUAGAUCUGACAACUCAUCUAACGAGUCCAAAGCUCUCACCACCUGACUCAUUUGUGGCCUUUUUGCAGCUGAAUGACGCACACAAGCUGCAGCUGCCUCAAUCAUCCGAAUCAUUUCUCUAGGUACAUAGUUCUUCUCCAGCCUUGGAUCAACUAGUGCUACAAAAUCUUCAUUAUCAAGUGCUUCAGCAAGUAAUGGUCGAGCCCAUUCAACUACGCUUUCAUCACCCAGUGGCUGAGAGGCAUCAACAGGCUUACGGCCUGUAAUUAGCUCCAAAAGCACAACCCCAAAUGAAUAAACAUCAGAUUUUUCAGUCAACUUACCACUUGUUGCAUACUCAGGGGCCAUAUACCUGGAAAUUGAAGAUCCGUUAAAAGUACAAAUAGAGAAGGUUUUGCACGCACCUUAAGGAUUUUUUUAACAUUGUCUUUAAUAUAUGCAAGUUAUGAAAAGCCUAUAAAUAUUACCUUUGUACUAAAAACAAAAUCAGACUUAUAAAAGAAAAUUAUAAUAUAAACCAUUAAAGUAAUGCCAGCCUUCUUUCGAUGUUUUCCUAGAUCAAUGUUUAUGAUGCUAGUUUUACCACAUAACAGCAUCUAUCAAAGAUAGAAGCACUUGUGGUUCACCUACCCAAAGGUUCCCAUCACGCGUGUUGUUACAUGUGUAUUUGAAUCCAGUUCCAGUGCAAUCUUUGCAAGCCCAAAAUCUGAAACCCGUGCUUCAAAAUUGUUAUCAAGAAGGAUGUUUGAUGACUUUAUAUCCCUAUGGAUAAUGCGGGGAUGACAGUCUUCAUGUAGGUAAGCGAUGCCACGAGCUGCUCCAGCAGCAACCUUGACCCGAAUUGCCCAAUCCAUAACUGGCCUGCCUUUACCAUGGAGAUGGUAGUGAAGUGUAUCAUUUGGGACGUAGUCGUAGAUGAGCAAUCUUUGAUUCUCUGAUACACAGUAACCCACUAAUGAAACUAAAUGGCGGUGAUGUACUCGGCUAAUAAUCUCAACCUCCGCUUUAAACUCACGCUCUCCUUGAGAACCACCCACCUUUAAUUGUUUUACAGCAACUUCUCUACCAUCCACCAGGAUGCCUUUGUAUACACAACCAAAUCCGCCUUCACCCAAAAGAUUUUGUGUUGAAAACCCAUUUGUGGCUUGGGCUAGCUCCUCAUAUGUGAAACAUGACCUUGAAGUGUUUACUCCUCCUGGCUCUGAAGGUGAAUAGAUCAAAUCACUGCCAGAAGGGCUUCCUCCCAAAGGUCCAUGAGAAAGGGGUCUUAGAAAUACCGACUCUGAAUUCUGCAGGGAGGCAAAUGGGGAAGGCAUAGUGUGCCCGAUAUUUGAUUUAGCAUGCCUUCUCUUUCGUUUAUGUACAAUCCACACAGCCAUCACGAGAAAACUGAGUACUACAAACCCAACCACGAUGCCUACUGCCACGGCAGCUCCAGUGUUUAAAUUUUCUGCGACUGUGGAUGUAUUUUUGGAGACAUUGGUACGAUUAGUUGCUGUUGCAGUUGGCUUUUCUGUAGGGAUAGAGGGUAAGGGUGACAAAGGAGAAGUUCCUGUUGUCGAUGAAUUAUCUGGAGGAGCAGGAGGAGGUGUUACAGGCGGCAUAGAAGUUGAUGGGACAGAAGGAGGUGGUGAUGUAGAUGUUGGAGGAGGAGGAGAAUUUGUUACAGGUGGAGGACUACUAGAAUGAGAACUAGAUGGUGGAGUAACAUUUGGAGGUGCAGAGGAACUUUCAGGGGCCUUUUCUGCUGGUGGAGAUGGUGUAUCAAUGGACGGAGGCGCAGGGACAUUAACAGGAGAAGGUGGAGGAGGGGCAACAGCUUGAGGGGAAGGAGGAGAUGCAACAGGUGUGGUUGGGGAGAACUGGGGAGAGGGAGAGCUGCUUGCUGGUGGUGGAGGAGGAGAUACAUGAGGAGGAGGGGGCAGUGAAGUAGUGACAGCUGGAGGAGGGGCAAUAGGUGUUGAUGGAGGUGGUGAUGUUGGAGGGGCUGGUGGUGGGGAUGCUGGGGGUGAUGGAGGUGGUGCAGAUGGUAGUGGUGUUGAGGGUGUUGUUGUAGAUGGUCGCGUUGAUGAUGGUGGAGAUGGAGGGGGGGCAGCUGGAAUUGCGGGCCUGGCGGAUUGAGGAGGUUGAGCUGAAGAGUUAAAAGAGGUUGAAGGGACCGGGGGAUCAGUUGUCUGAUCAGGCAAAGUUAUUGCAGGUGGAGGUAAAGUGGACGUAGAAUUUGAUGGUAAAGAAGGGGCUGUUGUUGAUGAUGGUGAGGUGGCGGAGGAUGUUGUUGGUGGAACUGCAGAAGGGGAAGAAUUUGGUGAAGGUGAUGUUGAGGCCAUGUCUGUUUCCAACAAAAUGUACGAGAAACUAUACCUCCAUAUCAAAUUCUAGACGCGUAAAUCUCAAGCAACUUCUCCACUGCAAAUGUCCAAAUAACUCAAGAACAUUCCAAUUCAAAAGUUCUCCUCCAAAUUACCGGAGGAAACACAGAUCUCCAAGCAGAUACAGAGCUCAAUAAAAACCCAAAUUCACAAAAAACGACCAAAAUUCAGUACAGAAGUCCCUAAAUGACCAAAACUAGACAAAAGAAACUCCAAAAAUCCAGCACAAAUGACUUCAACUGUACCAAUUUGAACCCUAGCUUAACUUCUUCUAACCAAAAUCCAAACUUUACACACUACAAUGGAUUAUAAACUGACGUUGGACAAAUGCAGCAAUAUCCAUAACACCAAAAUGAAAACAAAAAAAACCCAGAAGCGCAAAGUUCAACAAGGUCUUACUAAUCUGUCUCAAAUUGAGGAUUUCUUGGGGGAGGCUUUGGUUGUUACAGGUUGGAACUUUUGAAAUUGAAGUGGGUUUUCCCAAGAAAGCUUUUUUCUUUGACAGAAAAAAAGAUGGAGAGAGAAAGUGAGCGCACAAAACAUGCAAAGAAACGUGGGAGGCAACAGUAGAGAGAGACAAAGAAAUUUUGUGCCUU
This 3594-nucleotide unclassified non-coding RNA is filed under the name Hevea brasiliensis (rubber tree). The record is from RNAcentral. Lineage: Eukaryota; Viridiplantae; Streptophyta; Magnoliopsida; Malpighiales; Euphorbiaceae.